Molecule: RNase P RNA, 366 nt
Filed under: Puniceicoccales bacterium
Lineage: Bacteria; Pseudomonadati; Verrucomicrobiota; Opitutia; Puniceicoccales
Description: RNase P RNA component class A
Rfam family: Bacterial RNase P class A
About the family: Ribonuclease P (RNase P) is a ubiquitous endoribonuclease, found in archaea, bacteria and eukarya as well as chloroplasts and mitochondria. Its best characterised activity is the generation of mature 5'-ends of tRNAs by cleaving the 5'-leader elements of precursor-tRNAs. Cellular RNase Ps are ribonucleoproteins.
Source: RNAcentral
CUCUGAGGGUGAGAUGUUCGCUUCAAUCAUGAAUUGAAGAGGAAAGUCCGGACACCAUAGAGCGGAAUGCCUCGUGAAAACGAGGGUAUACGAGGUUCAAGCCCCGUGUAACGGCCAGUGCAACAGAAAAUAUACCGCCUUCGGGCAAGGGUGAAAAGGUGCGGUAAGGGCGCACCGCUUCUGAGGUAACUCAAAGGGCAGUGUAAACCCCAUUCGGUGCAAGACGGAAUAGGAGACAGAGUGGCUCGCUCGUUAAAAAUCUCGGGUUCGUCGCACUUCCUACGGGAAGAGGUCACCUGUGGCCUAGAGAAAUGAAUAUCGGGAAUAAAAAUUCCCAACAGAAUCCGGCUUACCCCUCAGAGAAUU